UACGUAGGGGGCAAGCGUUGUCCGGAAUCAUUGGGCGUAAAGAGCGUGUAGGCGGCCCGGUAAGUCCGCUGUGAAAGUCCAGGGCUCAACCCUGGGAUGCCGGUGGAUACUGUCGGGCUCGAGUCCGGAAGAGGAGUGUGGAAUUCCUGGUGUAGCGGUGAAAUGCGCAGAUAUCGGGAGGAACACCGGUGGCGAAGGCGGUUCUCUGGGCCUGACCUGACGCUGAGGAGCGAAAGCGUGGGGAGCGAACAGG
This 253-nucleotide ribosomal RNA is filed under the name uncultured bacterium. RNAcentral's name for it is "partial 16S ribosomal RNA". It matches the Rfam family "Bacterial small subunit ribosomal RNA", at positions 524 to 776 of the family's 1533-position model. The record is from RNAcentral.